AUCCACUUUUCAUCACAACCAGCUGUUCUUCUGCACGCUGUGACCACAAUUUCUUACAUCCAGUAUACCAAUAGAAGAACAUCUCACCUGGUGCCAAAGAUAACGGAGCACUUGGAAGAGCUGACGGCUUUGACAGUGUAUUUACAAGAGAGCUGAUCUGGCAACUGAUGGUUGGGUUCAGUUCAGCAAAUCCAUUAUUAAAAUGUUAUUAGCCAAUGAUGAAUAAAUAGGUUUGGAGCUUCCCUCUCCCUCUAUCU
This 257-nucleotide long non-coding RNA is filed under the name Bos indicus x Bos taurus (hybrid cattle). Its description in RNAcentral is "lncRNA (ENSBIXG00000018484.1)". The record is from RNAcentral. Lineage: Eukaryota; Metazoa; Chordata; Mammalia; Artiodactyla; Bovidae.